RNA transcript from Leopardus geoffroyi (Geoffroy's cat), 7017 nucleotides. It is a transcript of the gene named X-ray repair cross complementing 4, with no coding region annotated. Lineage: Eukaryota; Metazoa; Chordata; Mammalia; Carnivora; Felidae. The transcript is spliced from 10 exons. The record is from RefSeq and is a predicted model, not a curated record.
CGUCAUGCGCUUCUGCGGAAGUGGACGACACUCUCAUUGGCUGCGGGUCGUCUGUCUGUAGGAGCGGGCCUUUUGGAGGAGACCGGAAGUGGAGCGAAAGAGAGGUGACCAGAAAUGGAAAGAAAAGUAAGCAGAAUUUGUUUUGCUUCUGAACCAGAUAUAAUUCAUUUUCUACAAAUUGCUUGGGAGAGAACGCUAGCAGCUGGUUUUGUUAUUACACUUACUGAUGGUCAGUCAGCAUGGACCGGAACAGUUUCCGAAUCAGAGAUUUCUCAAGAAGCUGAUGACAUGGCAAUGGAAAAAGAGAAAUAUGUUGAUGAACUGAGGAAAGUAUUGAUAUCAGGAGGAGGACCAGCUGAUGCAUACAAGUUUGAUUUUUCUAAAGAGUCUUGUCAUUUCUCCUUUGAGAAAAACCUGAAAGAUGUUUCAUUUAGACUUGGUUCCUUCAAUCUAGAGAAAGUUGCAAGUCCAGCUGAGGUCAUUAGGAAACUUAUUUGUGAUUGCCUGGACACCAUUGCAGAAAACCAAGCCAAAAAUGAGCACCUGCAGAAGGAAAAUGAAAGGCUUCUGAGAGAUUGGAAUGAUAUUCAAGGACGAUUUGAAAAAUGUGUGAGUGCUAAGGAAGCUUUGGAGACUGAUCUUUAUAAGCGAUUUAUUCUAGUGCUGAAUGAGAAGAAAGCAAAGAUCAGAAGCUUGCAUAAAUUGUUAAAUGAAGUUCAAGAACCAGAAAGGAACAUUGAGCGUGAAAGGGAAGCCACAACAUGUUCUGAAAUGACCGCUGAUAGAGAUGCAGUCUACGAUGAAAGUACUGAUGAAGAAAGUGAGAACCUGCCUGAUCCCUCUGUGUUAGCUCCAGCUACUUCUAGAGAUGAUUCCAUCAUUUCAAGUCCUGAUGUCACUGAUAUUGCACCAAGUAGAAAGAGGAGGCAGCGGAUGCAAAAAAAUCUUGGAACGGAACCUAAAAUGGCUUCUCAGGUGACUCAGCCUCAAGAAAAGGAAAAGCUUGAUCCUCCACAACCUGAAAAGUUGAAAAAGGAGCACAGCUCAACUGAAAACAUGUCUUUAGAAACUCUAAGAAACAGUAGUUCAGAAGACCUCUUUGAUGAGAUUUAACUGUCUCAAAAGAGCUACCAUUCCAUUCUUGGCCCAUAAUUCACAAACUAGAGAAAUGUGCCCAUCAAGAACAAACUCACUACUAGUUGCGCUCAGAAAUGUUACCCCAGAGUGCCAAGGACAUGGCUGCCAAAAAGAAUUAAUCCCAUACCUACCCCAUUCAUGAUGACCUCGGAAACAGGAGAAGCAAACGUUUCUUACUGUUAACCAGAAGCAUUUCCCCCAAAUGACUGCAAAUAGCACAAAUGUCUGUUCCAUUGAUAGAUAAUUCCAGUGACACUUUUUUUUUUUUUUUUUUUUUUUCAGCCAAGUAGAGAUAGCGUCACAGCAGGAUAAAGUGGGCUGGAGUCACUAACUUUGACGUUCCAAUCCUGGAUCUCCCACUGCCUAACUCUCUUCUCUCAAGCCAGCCACUUAACCUCUCUUUUGAAGUCAGCUUCCUCACAAAUGAGACCAGCUCACGUGUACUUCUUGUCUAAGCACCAGAUAAGGCAGAUAAUGUACAGAGGCAGUAGCCACAGCUUAAUCCACAAUGUAAAAGUGCUUUCCGGAAGGGCUUUUCCCCCACCCCAGGAUUUCUUAAAUUACUAAACUUCAUAUGCUGUCCACCAGUGUCAAAGGCAACAGCCAAAUAAAAGGCCCGUCCUUGUACUAAAGACCAGGCCUUUCCCUGGUUAUGGACUUAUUUUAAUCAUGAACCUUGAUAUACUUGUAGAAAAAGUUGACUUGUUUUUCUUCAUAUCUCCCUGUUGGUGGAUAUCGUUUAAUGGGAAAUUUUUCAGUUUUUUAUAUGCUUUUAGUUGUAUUUUGCAUGUAUGUAUUUUUAGUUUUUUAGUUUUCUGAUUUUCCAGGUAUCUACAGAAGACUCAAAAUAUCCACCUUACUUUCCAGAGAAAUAGUUUUUAUAAAACAGAGAUGCCAUUUGUUAUCCAUAAAACAUGCUCUUUUUUUGACAUCUCCUGUAAUAUAGAGAAGACAUAUUCGUGUAUUUACUUGGGCUGAGAAAAGAUAGCAAAAUUUAGUCUUGGAUAUGUAUAGAUAACACUGUUAUCUAUUGCCUCCACCAUUACCAAAGAACUGGGUUCAGUUAGAAUAGGUAUUUGCUGAACAGUGAGGAAUACUAAGAGAUAUCUUGUGUGGGCAAAUUAGUUUGUAUACUUGACCCAAGCAGUUAGCACAGAGCAAAAGGGACCCAGUUUUCUGGAACCCUGUAUCAUAUAUUGUUGACUCCUGCUAGUUAUUUCUUCUAUGCAGACUCUCAUGAACUAAAAAAAGCAAAUUGACUUCCAAAAGUUAACCUAUGCAUGAAUAAAAUCACAACAUACACAGAAUGUUUUAGUCCUUCUGAAUUCUUUGAUGUUCCAUCUCUAAUAAGGAACUAACUAGAUUAAAUUUAAAUUCUUCAGAUAUGAAGUAAAACAUGUAUUCAAUAUGUUUUACAACUUUUGAGACUGUAGAGAUAAAUGAUUAUUUUGUAAAGUGGCUUUUGAACCUUACCUUGAUUCUGAGGGUUCAAAGGAACAAAUUAUGGUUGAGAAGACUGAUAAGAACCAAUAUGUGUUGAAGAUUGAAAAGCCUCAGGGACAUUUUUUUGUGUCUGAUUUGACCAAAUCUGUUGACCAUUUUAGCUUUUCAUCCAUCUCAUUAGAAAUAGUUUUCAACAGGGGCACCUGGGUGGCUCAGUCAGUUAAGCAUCCAACUUCAGCUCAGGUCAUGAUCUUGGGGUUUGUGGGUUCGAGCCCCGCAUCAGGCUAUGUGCUGACAGCUCAGAGCCUGGAGCCUGCUUCACAUUUCGUGUCUCCUCCUCUCUCUGCCCCUCCCAUGCUCAUGCUCUGUCUCUCAAUAAGAAACAAACGUUAAAAAGAAAUAAAAAAAAAAUAGUUUUCAACAAAGAUAAGCAUUACGCAAAUUACAAGUGGUGUAUUAUGUGCGUGAUUAGGUUUUCCAUUUUUCUUUCUUUGAAGCUUUAAAAAAAAAUCUUUUGGUGGUUAUUAUAAUGGAAGUCCACUUUCAUACUGGAUUUCCUUCAUUUCUCUUUAACCAUGAUUCUGAGCUGAAUCUCCACCAAGGGGGAAGUAGCAUUGGUGCUAAUCCCAACUUGGCAGAAUUAUUGGGUUCCACCCCAACAGUCACCAAAACAUUUGGGUUUAGUCAGAAUACCAAUUCAUCACUUCAUAAAACCAAAGCUCUUCUCCAUCCCACAGUAACCUGUUCAUAGACCGUAGGGAGAGUGAGAGAGAUGUGAAUAGACUCACUGAAUAAUAGGGCCUGGCCCUCUCAGACGUCAAAAGAGAUCUGAGAACCUUCCAUUUCUUAAGGCUCCUGGAGUAUUAAAACAAGAAGAGAAGAGGAAAAACGCCAGAACAGCAUAGAAAUAAAGUGUAGCACAUUUUAAGUGCUUAAAAUCAUGCUUUAAACACAUGAAAUAUAAAAUAACCUUUCUGGAAGACAAGAUCAAAUGGCCAGAUUUGAGGCUGUUUGUGAUUAUAACAGCCCUAGCUAAAUGGUUUUACUAAAGACACCUAGCUCACAAUCAUCAUAGCUCCUGCUCAGGGCUGAAUGGAAGUUCCAGGAUCAUUUAGCCUCAUUUGAUAGAUAUAGAUUAAAAAAACUGAGGCCAAAGAGUGCAAAUUAUGUGCUUUAGAGUGCAGUCAAUUAGUUGGUGAAAAAGCAGAUCUCUGUAUACUCUCUGUGCAAAUGGAAGGCACAGAGGAGGUCUUGAGUGGGCGAAAUGACUACUAGCAGUUGAUAAGGUGAUGAGUAUCAAAAGCAAUAUUGCAGGGAAAGUAAUUGUUGGGCAAAGCCACCAUAAAAUGGACUGAGUCAUGGCCAGAUGUGGCCAGAUGUGGCUAAUCAAGACUCCUGAUUGACAUUUCUGCAUGAUUUCAGUGAGGGCUGCAUUUAUGACACUACUUCAUAAGGCGAAAUUGGAGAUUCCUUAUUUCCAAUAUCCUUAUUCUGUGGUUAGUUCUCUAGUUGGAAAUCUGUGUGAGAUCCUCAUGGAGACGGGUGUUAACUUCUCCCAUUGAAUUUCUAAGCUAGGAAGCUGGGACUCUUAGGAGUCGAUUUUGACUCAGUCUUUUGUGAGACACUCUCAUCUUUGAGUCAUGCUUUAAUAAUUUGGAUCUCAGCAAUGACUUUAUUUAUCUUGGGGAAUUUUACUUUUCUGGACAACCAGAAUAAUUCCUCUUUUAGAUAUCAGAAGCAGACACUGGAAAAGCUGCUUUCUGUGUCGUUUUCAUACUGUUAGGAUUCUGGGCUCCUUAGUAACUUGGCCAACUGUCUUGAAUCAAAUGUUAGGCGAGUGCUAUUGGCUCUAUCUCCUCAUAGAUCAUUUCCAGCUGUUAGAACAACACAAAUAUGAAAUCUUCUGAGCCAGGAAAACUUGAAGUUUUCAUUAGAUCCCCAUACAAAGAUUAGAUGCAAUGAUUAAAAAGAAGUAUCAAUCCCCUGUGUUUGGAGGGUGCUGGGGUAUGGAUAGCAUCACACUGUUAGUGGAAAUAUAAUUUGUUAGAAACAUUCCAGUAGGCAAUUUGACAAUAUGUAUCAAAAGCCUCAAAAUGUAUAUAUUCUCCAAUUCAAGAUGGCAGACUGACCACAUGCAUUGGCCUCUCAUUACUUCCAAAACCUUAUUUACUGAAUUAAAAGUAUAGAAAGGUAGAAUAAAAUCUCCCUUAUACCUGUAUCUCUCAAGUUCAGUAAGGAAAAUGGAACCAAUUAGCUCAAUAGAGAGAGCUCAAUGUAGGCACCUAUUUCUGAAAGGGUAGGAACAUCUAAAAAGCCAGAUGGAUUUGCAACAUCAGGGGCUACUGCCUCCAGUGGACUGGAGGGACCAAAGAAAAAAUUAGUAUUGCUAGAGCUCAAGGCCCUUCAUGGUGAGAGGUUGAACCAUGAGAACGGGGCUGCCUAGAGUCAGGAGGUGUUGGACAAAAAAGAAGAAACCACUUCUAGAGAUGCUUCCAACGGCAGAGAAGGGAGAAAUAUAUUGCCUUCUUCCUUCUUCUCUCUCCAAUGUCCUACCAGUGCUUCCCACUGGCUGAACCUCCAUGGAAGCCAGUUGGCAUGGAAAUGUCAUUUACAGGAGCUGGUCACUGCUCUGUGAUCGAGAACAGAGCAGGGAAAUGUUGAGUAAUGACUAAAAGUAAAAAAGCAACUGCCUGGAACAACAGACAAGAGAGAAUGGGAAGUGUGUAUGUCACUAAAGAUUGAGCUAUUUAAUAAAUUACUGGGAUACAAAAAGUAGAUGAGAGCCAUUAGAAGAAAAGGGCAGAGCAAUUGCCAGCCUAGAAUACACUUUGACAGCUCUGUAAAGGAAGAAAGCUAAUCUGCCCUGUGGAACCCCUGACAUGCCUUCGGUAUAGAGUCAGCAGACACAACAGAGGGGAGAGUGAAAGAUGGAGCUAAACAGAGAGAGAUUCCUCAAAGGUCUGAGUGUAUCCAGAAUUCUUCAGUCAGCACCCUAUCUCCAACAUACAUAAACACAGUAAGCAGGCAGUUGGCAUUAUACUCCCAGUCAAAAUAUAUGGUGACUCCUUUCUAAAGUAAUUGGGCAAACUGGGAAAAGAUAACAUUUCUACAUUUGCUGAUGCCUCAGAGGGAAGCCAUUAUCAUUUCGGCACUGUGCAGGCACUCAGCCUGGGAGCCAGUUACCACUCCCAUUGCUCCUCAGUUUACUGGCCCACACUGCCUGGCGCAACCCAGGAAGCAAUUUCAGAAGAAGGGGAGAGGCCUGCUAGGAGAACAGUCUUCUGCCACUACAAAAGCAGAAUAUCUAUUCCAUCUACCCAGGCCUGCUUUCUUAAUAACACAGAGAAGCCACUAGAAUAUGAGGAGAACUAGCAGUAUAAAAAGAAAAGUACGAAAUUCUAAAAAACAAACAAAUAAACAAACAAACAAAAAACAAUCUUUGAGGAAGUUGAAAUGAUUCAGGGAACAAAAAAAUCAUCCUUAGAAAUAUUUGCAAAAAGGUUCAAGAAAAUACUACCUCUAUAAAACAAAUAGGAGAAUGAGAGAAUGAGAAAGCACUCUUAGAGAUUUAAAAUAUAAUUGCCAAAAUAAAAAAUUUAGUAGAAAUACUAAAAAACAACAAAAUCAAAGAAAUCUCUCCGAACAUUAAUCAAAGAGCAAAAGAUGGAAAAUAUGAGAAUGAACUCAGAGGACCUAUAUUCAACUAAUAAAAACCUCAGAAAGAGAGAAAGAGGCAAAGUGUUUAAAUUAUUCAACCAGAUAGUAAAAAGAUACGUGCCAGAGCUAAAGAAGGGUAAGACUCUUUGGUUUACAAUGGCUCACCGAGUGUCCAACCCAAUGAAUGGAAGCAGACCCCCCACCUGGACACAUUGUAUGGGAAGUAUCAGAACAACAUAAUUAAAAAGAAAACCUUACAAGCCUCUAGGAAGAAAAAAAGCCACAAUUCACAAAGGAGAGAGACUCAGACUGAUACAUUUAAAGUUCUGAGGUAAAACUUUUUACCCAGAAUUUUCUAUAUUUGAAAUAUAUAUAUUUGAAACUGCAUUUCAAAAAUACAAGGACUUAGUACAUUUAUCACCUAUGUGUCAUCUCUCAUGAAGCUACUUGAGUGUCCUCAGCAUAGAAGAUCAGUAACCAAGGAAGGCAGGAACAGUAGUUCUGACCCAGGAAAGGGAUAAAGGGAUGUUCUAGGUUGCCACAGGCCUCAGAGCCACCGGCCCUGAGGAGAAUGAGACAGUACACCCCAGGGGGAGACUUCAGGGACAGUCUGUGCCUUACGGAAUAACUAAUAUGGCUUAGAAUGUGGAAAAAAUAAAGGGCAAAUAGCAAAAGGGAUGGGAGUAGGAAGUAAUAAAAAUUCCAGAGGAAAGGUUAUACUACACACUCUUGAUCAAAAUGUGACAAAAACUAAUGCCUUGAUUUUAAGGAAUCCAUAGA